ACAAGUAGCGGAGCAUGUGGUUUAAUUCGAAGCAACGCGAAGAACCUUACCUAAGCUUGACAUCCCAAUGACAUCUCCUUAAUCGGGGAGUUCCCUUCGGGGACAUUGGUGACAGGUGGUGCAUGGUUGUCGUCAGCUCGUGUCGUGAGAUGUUGGGUUAAGUCCCGCAACGAGCGCAACCCUUGUCUUUAGUUGCCAUCAUUAAGUUGGGCAC
This 214-nucleotide ribosomal RNA is filed under the name Clostridioides difficile. Its description in RNAcentral is "partial 16S ribosomal RNA". It matches the Rfam family "Bacterial small subunit ribosomal RNA", at positions 925 to 1138 of the family's 1533-position model. The record is from RNAcentral. Lineage: Bacteria; Bacillati; Bacillota; Clostridia; Peptostreptococcales; Peptostreptococcaceae. RNAcentral also lists the same sequence under 1 other name.